RNAcentral lists this ribosomal RNA (444 nucleotides) under uncultured bacterium. RNAcentral's name for it is "bacterial SSU rRNA". It matches the Rfam family "Bacterial small subunit ribosomal RNA", at positions 28 to 507 of the family's 1533-position model. The record is from RNAcentral.
GGUUAACGCUGGCGGCGUGCCUAACACAUGCAAGUCGAACGGUUCUAAGCGCGAGCUUAGGAUAGUGGCGAACGGGUGAGUAAAAGGUAGGAAUCUACCCCUUGGACGGAGAUAGCUACUGGAAACGGUAGGUAAACUUCGAUAAGCCCGAGAGGGGAAAGUGGUGAGACAGCCGAGGGAUGAGCCUACUCUCCAUCAGGUAGUUGGUGAGAUAAAAGCUUACCAAGCCGAUGACGGAUAACCGGUGUGAGAGCAUGAACGGUCACAAGGGCACUGAGAGACGGGCCCUACUCCUACGGGAGGCAGCAGUGGGGAAUCUUGGACAAUGGGCGAAAGCCUGAUCCAGCGACGCCGCGUGGAGGACGAAGCCCUUCGGGGUGUAAACUCCUUUUCUCAGGGAAAAGGAUGAUGGUACCUGAGGAAUAAGCCCCGGCUAACUACGUG